This 407-nucleotide ribosomal RNA is filed under the name uncultured Actinomycetales bacterium. Its description in RNAcentral is "partial 16S ribosomal RNA". It matches the Rfam family "Bacterial small subunit ribosomal RNA", at positions 355 to 774 of the family's 1533-position model. Lineage: Bacteria; Bacillati; Actinomycetota; Actinomycetes; Actinomycetales. The record is from RNAcentral.
UGGGGAAUAUUGCGCAAUGGGCGAAAGCCUGACGCAGCGACGCCGCGUGAGGGACGACGGCCUUCGGGUUGUAAACCUCUUUCAGCAGGGAAGAAGGGAAACUGACGGUACCUGCAGAAGAAGCACCGGCUAACUACGUGCCAGCAGCCGCGGUAAUACGUAGGGUGCAAGCGUUGUCCGGAUUUAUUGGGCGUAAAGAGCUCGUAGGCGGUCUGUCACGUCGGAUGUGAAACCCCGGGGCUUAACUCCGGGCCUGCAUUCGAUACGGGCAGACUAGAGUGUGGUAGGGGAGACUGGAACUCCUGGUGUAGCGGUGAAAUGCGCAGAUAUCAGGAAGAACACCGGUGGCGAAGGCGGGUCUCUGGGCCACUACUGACGCUGAGGAGCGAAAGCGUGGGGAGCAAACA